This 460-nucleotide ribosomal RNA is filed under the name uncultured bacterium. RNAcentral's name for it is "partial 16S ribosomal RNA". It matches the Rfam family "Bacterial small subunit ribosomal RNA", at positions 338 to 795 of the family's 1533-position model. The record is from RNAcentral.
CCUACGGGCGGCAGCAGUGAGGAAUAUUGGUCAAUGGACGUAAGUCUGAACCAGCCAUGCCGCGUGCAGGAAGACGGCCCUAUGAGUUGUAAACUGCUUUUGUACGAGGGUAAACGCAGACACGCGUAUUUGUUUGAAAGUAUCGUAUGAAUAAGGAUCGGCUAAUUCCGUGCCAGCAGCCGCGGUAAUACGGAGGAUUCAAGCGUUAUCCGGAUUUAUUGGGUUUAAAGGGUGCGUAGGCGGUCUGUUAAGUUAGAGGUGAAAUGCCGUGGCUCAACCUUGGAAUUGCCUCUGAUACUGUCCGGCUAGAGUGUAGUUGCGGUAUGCGGAAUGUGUGGUGUAGCGGUGAAAUGCUUAGAUAUCAUGCAGAACACCGAUUGCGAAGGCAGCUUACCAAGCUACUUCUGACGUUGAGGCACGAAGGCGUGGGGAUCAAACAGGAUUAGAUACCCCUGUAGUC